GCAUAUCAAUAAGCGGAGGAAAAGAAACUAACAAGGAUUCCCCUUAGUAACUGCGAGUGAAGCGGGAAAAGCUCAAAUUUAAAAUCUGGCGUCUUCGGGCGUCCGAGUUGUAGUUUAGAGAAGCGUUUUCCGCGCCGGACCGUGUACAAGUCUCCUGGAACGGAGCGUCAUAGAGGGUGAGAAUCCCGUCUUUGACACGGACUACCGGUGCUCUGUGAUGCGCUCUCGAAGAGUCGAGUUGUUUGGGAAUGCAGCUCAAAAUGGGUGGUGAAUUCCAUCUAAAGCUAAAUAUUGGCGAGAGACCGAUAGCGAACAAGUACCGUGAGGGAAAGAUGAAAAGCACUUUGGAAAGAGAGUUAAACAGUACGUGAAAUUGUUGAAAGGGAAACGCUUGAAGUCAGUCGCGUUCGCCGGGACUCAGCCUUGCUUCGGCUCGGUGUACUUCCCGGUGUACGGGCCAGCAUCACUUUUGAUCGUCGGAAAAGGGCGAGGGAAAGGUGGCACCUUCGGGUGUGUUAUAGUCCCUUGUCGUAUACGAUGGUUGGGAGUGAGGAACUCAGCACGCCUUACGGUCGGGGUUYGCCCACGUUCGUGCUUAGGAUGCUGGCGUAAUGGCUUUAAACGACCCGUCUUGAAACACGGACCAAGGAGUCUAACAUGCCCGCGAGUGUUCGGGUGGAAAACCCGUGCGCGUAAUGAAAGUGAAAGUUGGGACCUCUAUCGUGGAGGGCACCGACGCCCGGACCAGACCUUCUGUGACGGUUCUGCGGUAGAGCGUGUAUGUUGGGACCCGAAAGAUGGUGAACUAUGCCUGAAUAGGGUGAAGCCAGAGGAAACUCUGGUGGAGGCUCGUAGCGAUUCUGACGUGCAAAUCGAUCGUCAAAUUUGGGUAUAGGGGCGAAAGACUAAUCGAACCAUCUAGUAGCUGGUUCUGC
This 935-nucleotide ribosomal RNA is filed under the name Amylostereum laevigatum. RNAcentral describes it as "LSU rRNA". It matches the Rfam family "Eukaryotic large subunit ribosomal RNA", at positions 38 to 960 of the family's 3401-position model. Lineage: Eukaryota; Fungi; Basidiomycota; Agaricomycetes; Russulales; Stereaceae. The record is from RNAcentral.